RNAcentral lists this ribosomal RNA (578 nucleotides) under Stenotrophomonas sp. StRD727. RNAcentral's name for it is "bacterial SSU rRNA". It matches the Rfam family "Bacterial small subunit ribosomal RNA", at positions 102 to 676 of the family's 1533-position model. The record is from RNAcentral. Lineage: Bacteria; Pseudomonadati; Pseudomonadota; Gammaproteobacteria; Lysobacterales; Lysobacteraceae.
ACGGGUGAGGAAUACAUCGGAAUCUACUUUUUCGUGGGGGAUAACGUAGGGAAACUUACGCUAAUACCGCAUACGACCUACGGGUGAAAGCAGGGGACCUUCGGGCCUUGCGCGAUUGAAUGAGCCGAUGUCGGAUUAGCUAGUUGGCGGGGUAAAGGCCCACCAAGGCGACGAUCCGUAGCUGGUCUGAAAGGAUGAUCAGCCACACUGGAACUGAGACACGGUCCAGACUCCUACGGGAGGCAGCAGUGGGGAAUAUUGGACAAUGGGCGCAAGCCUGAUCCAGCCAUACCGCGUGGGUGAAGAAGGCCUUCGGGUUGUAAAGCCCUUUUGUUGGGAAAGAAAUCCAGCCGGCUAAUACCUGGUUGGGAUGACGGUACCCAAAGAAUAAGCACCGGCUAACUUCGUGCCAGCAGCCGCGGUAAUACGAAGGGUGCAAGCGUUACUCGGAAUUACUGGGCGUAAAGCGUGCGUAGGUGGUUGUUUAAGUCUGUUGUGAAAGCCCUGGGCUCAACCUGGGAACUGCAGUGGAAACUGGACAACUAGAGUGUGGUAGAGGGUAGCGGAAUUCCCGGUGU